This 614-nucleotide ribosomal RNA is filed under the name Roseibium suaedae. RNAcentral's name for it is "bacterial SSU rRNA". It matches the Rfam family "Bacterial small subunit ribosomal RNA", at positions 105 to 754 of the family's 1533-position model. The record is from RNAcentral. Lineage: Bacteria; Pseudomonadati; Pseudomonadota; Alphaproteobacteria; Hyphomicrobiales; Stappiaceae.
GGUGAGUAACGCGUGGGAACAUGCCCUUCGGUGCGGAACAACAGUUGGAAACGACUGCUAAUACCGCAUACGCCCUACGGGGGAAAGAUUUAUCGCCGAAGGAUUGGCCCGCGUUGGAUUAGCUAGUUGGUGGGGUAAUGGCCUACCAAGGCGACGAUCCAUAGCUGGUCUGAGAGGAUGAUCAGCCACACUGGGACUGAGACACGGCCCAGACUCCUACGGGAGGCAGCAGUGGGGAAUAUUGGACAAUGGGCGCAAGCCUGAUCCAGCCAUGCCGCGUGAGUGAUGAAGGCCCUAGGGUUGUAAAGCUCUUUCACCCACGAGGAUAAUGACGGUAGUGGGAGAAGAAGCCCCGGCUAACUUCGUGCCAGCAGCCGCGGUAAUACGAAGGGGGCUAGCGUUGUUCGGAAUCACUGGGCGUAAAGCGCACGUAGGCGGACUGAUCAGUCAGGGGUGAAAUCCCGGGGCUUAACCCCGGAACUGCCUUUGAUACUGUCAGUCUUGAGGCCGAGAGAGGUGAGUGGAACUCCGAGUGUAGAGGUGAAAUUCGUAGAUAUUCGGAAGAACACCAGUGGCGAAGGCGGCUCACUGGCUCGGUACUGACGCUGAGGUGC